UGGAGUUGUCUACUUGUUCAAGCCUUC
RNAcentral lists this non-coding RNA (27 nucleotides) under Mus musculus (house mouse). The record is from RNAcentral. Lineage: Eukaryota; Metazoa; Chordata; Mammalia; Rodentia; Muridae.